This 371-nucleotide ribosomal RNA is filed under the name uncultured bacterium. RNAcentral describes it as "bacterial SSU rRNA". It matches the Rfam family "Bacterial small subunit ribosomal RNA", at positions 30 to 403 of the family's 1533-position model. The record is from RNAcentral.
AUUGAACGCUGGCGGCAUGCCUUACACAUGCAAGUCGAACGGCAGCACGGGAGCAAUCCUGGUGGCGAGUGGCGAACGGGUGAGUAAUAUAUCGGAACGUGCCCGGUCGUGGGGAUAACGUAGCGAAAGCUACGCUAAUACCGCAUACGAUCUACGGAUGAAAGCGGGGGAUCGCAAGACCUCGCGCGAUUGGAGCGGCCGAUAUCAGAUUAGGUAGUUGGUGAGGUAAAGGCUCACCAAGCCGACGAUCUGUAGCUGGUCUGAGAGGACGACCAGCCACACUGGGACUGAGACACGGCCCAGACUCCUACGGGAGGCAGCAGUGGGGAAUUUGGACAAUGGGCGCAAGCCUGAUCCAGCAAUGCCGCGUG